This 293-nucleotide ribosomal RNA is filed under the name uncultured bacterium. RNAcentral describes it as "partial 16S ribosomal RNA". It matches the Rfam family "Bacterial small subunit ribosomal RNA", at positions 505 to 796 of the family's 1533-position model. The record is from RNAcentral.
GUGCCAGCAGCCGCGGUAAUACGAAGGGAGCUAGCGUUGUUCGGAAUCACUGGGCGUAAAGCGCACGUAGGCGGGUUUGUCAGUCAGGGGUGAAAUCCCGGGGCUCAACCUCGGAACUGCCCUUGAUACAGCAAGCCUUAGAGUCCGGAAGAGGUGGGUGGAAUUCCUAGUGUAGAGGUGAAAUUCGUAGAUAUUAGGAAGAACACCGGUGGCGAAGGCGGCCCACUGGUCCGGCACUGACGCUGAGGUGCGAAAGCGUGGGGAGCAAACAGGAUUAGAUACCCCAGUAGUCC